Molecule: ribosomal RNA, 301 nt
Filed under: uncultured bacterium
Lineage: Bacteria
Description: partial 16S ribosomal RNA
Rfam family: Bacterial small subunit ribosomal RNA
Source: RNAcentral
CAGUAGCCGCGGUAAUACGAAGGGGGCUAGCGUUGCUCGGAAUGACUGGGCGUAAAGGGCGCGUAGGCGGCGAUCAAAGUCAGGCGUGAAAUUCCUGGGCUCAACCUGGGGGCUGCGCUUGAUACUUGGUUGCUUGAGUGGGGAAGAGGGUCGUGGAAUUCCCAAUGUAGAGGUGAAAUUCGUAGAUAUUGGGAAGAACACCGGUGGCGAAGGCGGCGACCUGGUCCUUGACUGACGCUGAGGCGCGAAAGCGUGGGGAGCAAACAGGAUUAGAUACCCCUGUAGUCCCUGUCUCUUAUAC